UACGGAGGAUGCGAGCGUUAUCCGGAUUUAUUGGGUUUAAAGGGUGCGUAGGCGGAUUAAUAAGUCAGUGGUGAAAUCCUGCAGCUUAACUGUGGAACUGCCAUUGAUACUGAUAGUCUUGAGUUUGGUUAAGGUAGGCGGAAUGUGUAAUGUAGCGGUGAAAUGCUUAGAUAUUACACAGAACACCAAUUGCGUAGGCAGCUUACUGAGCCGACACUGACGCUGAGGCACGAAAGCGUGGGGAUCGAACAGGAUUA
Molecule: ribosomal RNA, 257 nt
Filed under: uncultured prokaryote
Description: partial 16S ribosomal RNA
Rfam family: Bacterial small subunit ribosomal RNA
Source: RNAcentral